Molecule: ribosomal RNA, 292 nt
Filed under: uncultured bacterium
Lineage: Bacteria
Description: partial 16S ribosomal RNA
Rfam family: Bacterial small subunit ribosomal RNA
Source: RNAcentral
GUGCCAGCCGCCGCGGUAAUACGAACCGUCCAAACGUUAUUCGGAAUCACUGGGCUUAAAGGGUGCGUAGGCGGCCCGGUAAGUUGGGUGUGAAAUCCCUCGGCUCAACCGAGGAAUAGCGCUCAAAACUGCCGGGCUUGAGGAAGAUAGAGGUGAGUGGAACUUAGGGUGGAGCGGUGAAAUGCGUUGAUAUCCUAAGGAACACCGGUGGCGAAAGCGACUCACUGGGUCUUUUCUGACGCUGAGGCACGAAAGCUAGGGUAGCGAAGAGGAUUAGAUACCCUCGUAGUCC